AAAGCCGGUCAGACAACCGCCGCCAUGAAAGUGGGGGAGGAAAGUCCGGGCUCCAAAGAGCAGGAUGCUGGCUAACGGCCAGACGCAGCAACUGCCCUGUUGCAAGACAUGGCAGCCAAGGCGAGGAAUAGGGCCACAGAGACGAGCGUAUUGAGUUACGGUGAAACGCGGUAACCUCCAUCCGGAGCAACACCAAAUAGGCAGGCGAUGAAGCGGCUCGCUGAGUCUGCGGGUAGGUGGCUGGAGCCGGUC
This 252-nucleotide RNase P RNA is filed under the name Hydrogenophilales bacterium 16-61-112. RNAcentral's name for it is "partial RNase P RNA component class A". It matches the Rfam family "Bacterial RNase P class A", at positions 1 to 290 of the family's 367-position model. Rfam says of the family: Ribonuclease P (RNase P) is a ubiquitous endoribonuclease, found in archaea, bacteria and eukarya as well as chloroplasts and mitochondria. Its best characterised activity is the generation of mature 5'-ends of tRNAs by cleaving the 5'-leader elements of precursor-tRNAs. Cellular RNase Ps are ribonucleoproteins. Lineage: Bacteria; Pseudomonadati; Pseudomonadota; Hydrogenophilia; Hydrogenophilales. The record is from RNAcentral.